RNAcentral lists this ribosomal RNA (253 nucleotides) under uncultured bacterium. Its description in RNAcentral is "partial 16S ribosomal RNA". It matches the Rfam family "Bacterial small subunit ribosomal RNA", at positions 524 to 776 of the family's 1533-position model. The record is from RNAcentral.
UACGUAGGGCGCGAGCGUUGUCCGGAAUUAUUGGGCGUAAAGGGUGCGUAGGCGGCGCGGUAAGUCGGGUGUGAAAUCUCGGAGCUUAACUCCGAAACUGCAUUCGAUACUGCCGUGCUUGAGGACUGGAGAGGAGACUGGAAUUUACGGUGUAGCGGUGAAAUGCGUAGAUAUCGUAAGGAAGACCAGUGGCGAAGGCGGGUCUCUGGACAGUUCCUGACGCUGAGGCACGAAGGUCAGGGGAGCAAACGGG